RNAcentral lists this transfer RNA (82 nucleotides) under Colletotrichum lupini. It matches the Rfam family "tRNA". Rfam says of the family: Transfer RNA (tRNA) molecules are approximately 80 nucleotides in length. Their secondary structure includes four short double-helical elements and three loops (D, anti-codon, and T loops). Lineage: Eukaryota; Fungi; Ascomycota; Sordariomycetes; Glomerellales; Glomerellaceae. The record is from Rfam by way of RNAcentral.
GGCGUUGUGGCACAGUGGUCUAAUGCGCAAGGCUAGAAAUCUUGUUCCUUCGGCAGCGUCUGUUCGAAUCAGGCCAACGUCG